This 429-nucleotide ribosomal RNA is filed under the name Acidobacteriota bacterium. RNAcentral describes it as "Acidobacteria bacterium partial 16S ribosomal RNA". It matches the Rfam family "Bacterial small subunit ribosomal RNA", at positions 355 to 776 of the family's 1533-position model. The record is from RNAcentral. Lineage: Bacteria; Pseudomonadati; Acidobacteriota.
UGGGGAAUUUUGGACAAUGGGGGAAACCCUGAUCCAGCCAUCCCGCGUGUGCGAUGAAGGCCUUCGGGUUGUAAAGCACUUUUGGCAGGAAAGAAACGUCAUGGGUUAAUACCCCGUGAAACUGACGGUACCUGCAGAAUAAGCACCGGCUAACUACGUGCCAGCAGCCGCGGUAAUACGUAGGGUGCAAGCGUUAAUCGGAAUUACUGGGCGUAAAGCGUGCGCAGGCGGUUCGGAAAGAAAGAUGUGAAAUCCCAGAGCUCAACUUUGGAACUGCAUUUUUAACUACCGGGCUAGAGUGUGUCAGAGGGAGGUGGAAUUCCGCGUGUAGCAGUGAAAUGCGUAAAUAGGCGGAGGAACACCGAUGGCGAAGGCAGCCUCCUGGGAUAACACUGACGCUCAUGCACGAAAGCGUGGGGAGCAAACAGG